Long non-coding RNA from Pteropus alecto (black flying fox), 1820 nucleotides. RefSeq lists it as uncharacterized. Lineage: Eukaryota; Metazoa; Chordata; Mammalia; Chiroptera; Pteropodidae. The transcript has 3 exons. The record is from RefSeq and is a predicted model, not a curated record.
AUUUGGAAUACAGUGACUGUGGAGUUUGUGUUUGUGGGACAUCUUUCCUACUCUUCAUCCUGAAUGUUAGAAGACUGGGAUGUUUGUGCUCUUCUUACAUCAACAUUUACUUGGAAUAGUCUGCAGGAUUCCAAAGAAGCCCACCCAGGACCACCCUGCAGACCUGCACCUGAUGCUCAGUACCAGCACAAGCCCAUCUUGCCUUCUGGCUCCCCACUCUGCAUUGGAUGAACCUGGUGCUGGACUUAAAUGAAGGAACUUAUGAUCUGACAUUAUUGGAAGGAGACAUCCUACACUGUUGCCAAGGUUUGAUAGAGUCACCUCAAGAAAAUGCUAAGUUGGUAACUGCUUUCACAGUGAACUUCCAGGUGACAAAGACUUUAAAGAUCAUUGACUGCCACCUGGAGAUUUUGUUUAUUAAAAAGGACAUAAAAUAAAAGACACUCUCCAACCUCAUUGGAAGAGACCUACGAAUAGACACAUCUACCCUUAUCUACAUACAUCAAAGACUUCUCUAGGAUGAGAAGCUGCCGACACUGGAGUUAGACAGCCAUCCCAAGACAGCAACAAGGAUUGUAUAUCUAUGGAUUUAUAUAGAAUUCAGAAUUCAUUUUGCUUGAUUGAUUUUACCAAUUUGCUAAUGUUAUUAUUCAUAAUAAUAGUUAUACUUGUUCUUGAGUUUUUCUUGAAAAAUUAUCUGUGAAAUCUCUUCAUCUUUGUCUUAUAACCUUACUUAAUCUCAGUAGUGACACUUACAGUCACAAAUCUCACCCACACCCCAGGGGAGGGAAUUGUAUAGGGCAUGUACAUAAGGAGUCAGGAAUCUUGGAAGUCAUCUCAGAAUUCUGCAUACCACAUACCUUCUUUUCUAGGAGUGAAUGAACAGAGUAGAUUGCCUCAGACCUUAGGUGGAAAGAAACAGAAGUCACAAUAAUUUCAUAGAGAAGCGUUGAAAGUCAAUCACACUUAAAUACCUUAAAUACAGUAUUCUAGUUAAAAAUAUAAUUACUUAUGAUAACUUAACAAAUUGGUGAUUGCCUUUGCCUUCCUCACACUAAAGAAAGCAGCAGACCAGUCACAAUUUAGUUUUGUCCUUAGGAUAACUAGUAGAGAUUAUCCAGGACUAUUGUGUUAAGAGCAAGUCUAAGGCCACAUCUGGACUUAAGCAAUGCUAUGAUUAAUGAGUAAUGUCUGAUAUGGCAAAGGAAGUGGGAUAGUGACAUAAAUAUUUGCCAUCUCUUAUCUGUAUGUCGAGCCAUUUUUUCCUUGAAAAUUUAACCUUAUUUCAGGGCUUUAAAGGCAAUACAAGUUUAAUUACUUCCAAUUUUAAUACCUUUUUAAUAUCUUGAAAGCAAACUUUCAGAGAUUCAUUUCAGGUAAGCUCAAAAUUGAGUUGCUUGUGAAAGGGGAAUAUUUAGGGAAUGGGUACUUUUAUUAAUUUGCAAAAUAUUUGUAGUGUACCUAUUUUAGUGUGACUAUGUGCCAGACACUCUUUAAGUGCUUUCAGGCACUUAACAUUGUCUAAACAAUCCCAUGAAGUAGACAUUAUUAUUCCCAUUUAACAGAUGAGAAAGCUAAAGCAUUGUGAGAAUAAGUAAUUUACCUACACUCACAUAGCUUUUAAGGAGGAGCUGAAAUUCAAACCCACUCUGGCUCUAGAGACUGAGGUUAACCACUGUGGUAUGCUAGAUAAAUCAGAAUCCUUGAAUAUGUGGUUGCAUACUUCUUUCAUAGAUAUUACCAAUACAACUAAUUCCACAAUUGCUCUUGAAUUCCCAAUAAAUUGAUUUACUCAAUAAAUCUUAAAUGACUAACAUGUA